RNAcentral lists this ribosomal RNA (459 nucleotides) under uncultured bacterium. RNAcentral describes it as "partial 16S ribosomal RNA". It matches the Rfam family "Bacterial small subunit ribosomal RNA", at positions 338 to 795 of the family's 1533-position model. The record is from RNAcentral.
CCUACGGGCGGCAGCAGUGAGGAAUAUUGGUCAAUGGUCGGGAGACUGAACCAGCCAAGCCGCGUGAGGGAGAAAGGUACAGAGUAUCGUAAACCUCUUUUGUCAGGGAACAAAGGCGGGGACGUGUCCCCGGAUGAGUGUACCUGAAGAAAAAGCAUCGGCUAACUCCGUGCCAGCAGCCGCGGUAAUACGGAGGAUGCGAGCGUUAUCCGGAUUUAUUGGGUUUAAGGGGUGCGCGGGCGGUCUGUUAAGUCAGCGGUAAAAGCCCGGGGCGCAACCCCGGCCCGCCGUUGAAACUGGCAGUCUCGAGUUGGAGAGAAGUAUGCGGAAUGCGCGGUGUAGCGGUGAAAUGCAUAGAUAUCGCGCAGAACUCCGAUUGCGAAGGCAGCAUGCCGGCUCCACACUGACGCUGAGGCACGAAAGCGUGGGUAUCGAACAGGAUUAGAUACCCCUGUAGUC